CUGGUGUGCCGUGCUGCUCCUGCCUUUCAGCUCCGUAUUCCCUGCCUCAAUAGGUUCGACUCCUGCUCGCCAGCCAGGAGAAGCCGAGCCCCGACGCGCUGCUCUUCUUAAAGCGUCAUGGAGCACAAGAGGACUGGCCGGGGGCAUAACUGUAGCGUUUUAAUGGUGGUGAGCAACCCUGCACUGUUUACACCCUAAGUCCUCUGUGGAAGGCAAUAAGCUGAGUGAACUUAAAGCAGCCUGGACCACACCGAGGGGACAGCAGUGGUAAUGGGAGUGUGCAAGAUGAUUCCAGCUACACAUGUGAAGUGGACGUGUCUGGUGAGCCAAGUGGAAUUAUUCUCGUUUGCUUCUUGUUGUUGUUUCAGCUCAAGGCGCAUGGUAAGGAGCUGUUUUGGCUUUGGUGUUGGUGGUGUGGUUGUGGUGUGGUGGGAGAAAGAGUGGAAGUGGAGGGUAAGGUGAAAGAGAAAGAGAGACAGGAGUGAAAGUUAAGGUAAUGUGAGCUUGUCAAGUGUUUAGUGUUUAGAUUGACGGAUACAUAUAUAUUUUUUUUACCGUUGCAUAUGGCAUUUAGUUCACCAUGGUAGCUUUAAAUGUUGUUGUUGUUUUUUUUCUUUAAUAAAAACAAUCUUUAUUAGCCAUGUGUUAAGUGACCUAUAUAUAUGUUCAUUAUUUGUGGCAUUAGAACUACUCCAGCGUUGAACCUAUAAAUUUGUGCUUUAAUUACUAUGAAUAAUUUAUUCUG
Long non-coding RNA from Portunus trituberculatus (swimming crab), 745 nucleotides. RefSeq lists it as uncharacterized. The transcript is spliced from 4 exons. The record is from RefSeq and is a predicted model, not a curated record. Lineage: Eukaryota; Metazoa; Arthropoda; Malacostraca; Decapoda; Portunidae.